UUACCAACCCGAUGCAAACUGCGAAUACCGGAGAAUGUUAUCACGGGAGACACACGGCGGGUGCUAACGUCCGUCGUGAAGAGGGAAACAACCCAGACCGCCAGCUAAGGUCCCAAAGUCAUGGUUAAGUGGGAAACGAUGUGGGAAGGCCCAGACAGCCAGGAUGUUGGCUUAGAAGCAGCCAUCAUUUAAAGAAAGCGUAAUAGCUCACUGGUCGAGUCGGCCUGCGCGGAAGAUGUAACGGGGCUAAACCAUGCACCGAAGCUGCGGCAGCGACGCUGAUGCGUUGUUGGGUAGGGGAGCGUUCUGUAAGCCUGCGAAGGUGUGCUGUGAGGCAUGCUGGAGGUAUCAGAAGUGCGAAUGCUGACAUAAGUAACGAUAAAGCGGGUGAAAAGCCCGCUCGCCGGAAGACCAAGGGUUCCUGUCCAACGUUAAUCGGGGCAGGGUGAGUCGACCCCUAAGGCGAGGCCGAAAGGCGUAGUCGAUGGGAAACAGGUUAAUAUUCCUGUACUUGGUGUUACUGCGAAGGGGGGACGGAGAAGGCUAUGUUGGCCGGGCGACGGUUGUCCCGGUUUAAGCGUGUAGGCUGGUUUUCCAGGCAAAUCCGGAAAAUCAAGGCUGAGGCGUGAUGACGAGGCACUACGGUGCUGAAGCAACAAAUGCCCUGCUUCCAGGAAAAGCCUCUAAGCAUCAGGUAACAUCAAAUCGUACCCCAAACCGACACAGGUGGUCAGGUAGAGAAUACCAAGGCGCUUGAGAGAACUCGGGUGAAGGAACUAGGCAAAAUGGUGCCGUAACUUCGGGAGAAGG
RNAcentral lists this ribosomal RNA (810 nucleotides) under Escherichia coli. RNAcentral's name for it is "partial 23S ribosomal RNA". It matches the Rfam family "Bacterial large subunit ribosomal RNA", at positions 936 to 1746 of the family's 2925-position model. Lineage: Bacteria; Pseudomonadati; Pseudomonadota; Gammaproteobacteria; Enterobacterales; Enterobacteriaceae. The record is from RNAcentral.